RNAcentral lists this ribosomal RNA (456 nucleotides) under uncultured bacterium. Its description in RNAcentral is "bacterial SSU rRNA". It matches the Rfam family "Bacterial small subunit ribosomal RNA", at positions 30 to 504 of the family's 1533-position model. The record is from RNAcentral.
UGAACGCUGGCGGCGUGCUUAACACAUGCAAGUCGAACGAUGAAGAUACUGCUUGCAGUAUUGGAUUAGUGGCGCACGGGUGAGUAAUAUAUAGAUAAUGUGCCUCUUAGUCUGGGAUAGCCAUUGGAAACGAUGAUUAAUACUAGAUACUCCUUCUAAACAUAUGUUUAGUUGGGAAAGUUUUUCGCUAAGAGAUCAGUCUAUAUCGCAUCAGUUAGUUGGUAGGGUAACGGCCUACCAAGACAAUGACGCGUAGCGGGUUUGAGAGGAUGAUCCGCCACACUGGUACUGAGACACGGACCAGACUCCUACGGGAGGCAGCAGUGAGGAAUAUUGCACAAUGGGGGAAACCCUGAUGCAGCAACGCCGCGUGGAGGAUGACGCAUUUCGGUGUGUAAACUCCUUUUAUGAGUCAAGAAAAUGACGGUAGCUCAUGAAUAAGCACCGGCUAACUCC